AUUGAACGCUGGCGGCAUGCCUUACACAUGCAAGUCGAACGGCAGCGGGGACUUCGGUCCGCCGGCGAGUGGCGAACGGGUGAGUAAUGUAUCGGAACGUACCUUUCAGUGGGGGAUAACGUAGCGAAAGUUACGCUAAUACCGCAUAUUCUCUGAGGAGGAAAGCAGGGGACCUUCGGGCCUUGCGCUGAUGGAGCGGCCGAUAUCAGAUUAGCUAGGUGGUGGGGUAAAGGCUCACCAAGGCUACGAUCUGUAGCGGGUCUGAGAGGAUGAUCCGCCACACUGGGACUGCGACACGGCCCAGACUCCUACGGGAGGCAGCAGUGGGGAAUUUUGGACAAUGGGCGAAAGCCUGAUCCAGCCAUGCCGCGUGAGUGAAGAAGGCCUUCGGGUUGUAAAGCUCUUUCGGACGGGAAGAAAUCAUGAGGGCUAAUAUCCCUUGUGGAUGACGGUACCGUAAUAAGAAGCACCGGCUAACUACGUGCCAGCCGCCGCAGUAA
RNAcentral lists this ribosomal RNA (500 nucleotides) under uncultured bacterium. Its description in RNAcentral is "partial 16S ribosomal RNA". It matches the Rfam family "Bacterial small subunit ribosomal RNA", at positions 30 to 523 of the family's 1533-position model. The record is from RNAcentral.